RNAcentral lists this ribosomal RNA (404 nucleotides) under Actinomycetes bacterium. Its description in RNAcentral is "Actinobacteria bacterium partial 16S ribosomal RNA". It matches the Rfam family "Bacterial small subunit ribosomal RNA", at positions 355 to 776 of the family's 1533-position model. The record is from RNAcentral. Lineage: Bacteria; Bacillati; Actinomycetota; Actinomycetes.
UGGGGAAUAUUGGACAAUGGGCGCAAGCCUGAUCCAGCCAUGCCGCGUGAGUGAUGAAGGCCCUAGGGUUGUAAAGCUCUUUCACCGGUGAAGAUAAUGACGGUAACCGGAGAAGAAGCCCCGGCUAACUUCGUGCCAGCAGCCGCGGUAAUACGAAGGGGGCUAGCGUUGUUCGGAUUUACUGGGCGUAAAGCGCACGUAGGCGGACUAUUAAGUCAGGGGUGAAAUCCCGGGGCUCAACCCCGGAACUGCCUUUGAUACUGGUAGUCUUGAGUUCGAGAGAGGUGAGUGGAAUUCCGAGUGUAGAAGUGAAAUUCGUAGAUAUUCGGAGGAACACCAGUGGCGAAGGCGGCUCACUGGCUCGAUACUGACGCUGAGGUGCGAAAGCGUGGGGAGCAAACAGG